UACGUAGGUGGCAAGCGUUAUCCGGAUUUAUUGGGCGUAAAGGGAACGCAGGCGGUCUUUUAAGUCUGAUGUGAAAGCCUUCGGCUUAACCGGAGUAGUGCAUUGGGAACUGGGAGACUUGAGUGCAGAAGAGGAGAGUGGAACUCCAUGUGUAGCGGUGAAAUGCGUAGAUAUAUGGAAGAACACCAGUGGCGAAAGCGGCUCUCUGGUCUGUAACUGACGCUGAGGUUCGAAAGCGUGGGUAGCAAACAGG
Molecule: ribosomal RNA, 253 nt
Filed under: uncultured bacterium
Lineage: Bacteria
Description: partial 16S ribosomal RNA
Rfam family: Bacterial small subunit ribosomal RNA
Source: RNAcentral